This 217-nucleotide long non-coding RNA is filed under the name Elaeis guineensis (African oil palm). RNAcentral's name for it is "long non-coding RNA (EGUI_LNC015962)". The record is from RNAcentral. Lineage: Eukaryota; Viridiplantae; Streptophyta; Magnoliopsida; Arecales; Arecaceae.
CUCCCUCUUCUUCUUGGCUUUCUGUGCCAUCCCCUUUAAUAAUCUUUUACUGAUAUUAAUGUCAUUCUUUAUUUAUUUUUCAUCAAAUAUUAAUGAAAUUAAUAAUUAUCAUUUUAGAAGAUUUUAAUAUAUAGUAGAUGGAGAUUUAUAUGCGAUGCAUAGUUUUAAUAUUAUAAUAAUAAUAUAUACAAACAAAAUGAUAUAGUUAAAGCAUUGG